GACAAACGCUGGCGGCAUGCCUAACACAUGCAAGUCGAACGGACAGAACAGGGAAGCUUUUCGGAGUGGAACUGGAAAGUUAGUGGCGGAUGGGUGAGUAACGCGUGGACAACCUACCUUGUAAAGGGGAAUAACCUCGAGAAAUCGAAGCUAAUACCCCAUAAUAACCUUGCUUCGCAUGAAGUAAGGAGGAAAGGCGGCCUUAGCGCUGUCGAUACAAGAUGGGUCCGCGUCUGAUUAGCUAGUUGGUGAGGUAAAGGCUCACCAAGGCGACGAUCAGUAGCCGGCCUGAGAGGGUGAACGGCCACAUUGGGACUGAGACACGGCCCAAACUCCUACGGGAGGCAGCAGUGGGGAAUCUUCCGCAAUGGGCGAAAGCCUGACGGAGCAAUGCCGCGUGAGUGAAGAAGGCCUUCGGGUUGUAAAACUCUGUCCUUAUCGAAGAGAGAGUGUUGUAGUAACUGGCAAUACUAGGACGGUAGAUGAGGAGGAAGCCCCGGCUAACUAUGUG
Molecule: ribosomal RNA, 511 nt
Filed under: uncultured bacterium
Lineage: Bacteria
Description: partial 16S ribosomal RNA
Rfam family: Bacterial small subunit ribosomal RNA
Source: RNAcentral